GCAAGUCGAGCGGUAAGCUAACUUCGGUUAGCCUAGAGCGGCGGACGGGUGAGUAACGCGUAGGAAUCUACCUAGUAGAAGGGGAUAGCCCGGGGAAACCCGGAUUAAUACCGUAUACCUCCUUUGGGAGAAAGAAGGCCUCUCUUUAGAAGCUUUCGCUACUAGAUGAGCCUGCGUAAGAUUAGCUUGUUGGUGAGGUAAAGGCUCACCAAGGCGACGAUCUUUAGCUGGUCUGAGAGGACGAUC
Molecule: ribosomal RNA, 246 nt
Filed under: uncultured bacterium
Lineage: Bacteria
Description: partial 16S ribosomal RNA
Rfam family: Bacterial small subunit ribosomal RNA
Source: RNAcentral